UGUAUUUAUUAGAGUUUUCACCAACUGCCUUCGGGUAUUCGGUGAGUCAUAAUAACUUCUCGGAUCGCACGGCCUUGCGCUGGCGACAGGUCAUUCAAAUUUCUGCCCUAUCAGCUUUCGAUGGUAAGGUAUUGGCUUACCAUGGCAUUAACGGGUGACGGAGAAUUAGGGUUCGAUUCCGGAGAGGGAGCCUGAGAAACGGCUACCACUUCUAAGGAAGGCAGCAGGCGCGCAAAUUACCCAAUCCUGACACAGGGAGGUCGUGACAAGAAAUAACAGUAGAUGGACUUAUGUCUUAUCUUACUGGAAUGAGAACAAUUUAAAAUUCUUAUCGACGACCCACUGGAGGGCAAGUCUGGUGCCAGCAGCCGCGGUAAUUCCAGCUCCAGUAGUGUAUACUAACGUUGUUGCAGUUAAAAAGCUCGUAGUUGGAUUUCUGGUUUGACGUCGCGUCUCGGCUCCUCGAGAGUUAGAUGACUGCGAAACGUCGAAUCAUCCUGUCACAAUCUCUUUCUGGCUUUAAUUAGUCGGACUGAGCGAGUGGCUCGUUUACUUUGAGAAAAUUAGAGUGUUCAA
This 576-nucleotide ribosomal RNA is filed under the name uncultured eukaryote. RNAcentral's name for it is "partial 18S ribosomal RNA". It matches the Rfam family "Eukaryotic small subunit ribosomal RNA", at positions 202 to 778 of the family's 1831-position model. The record is from RNAcentral.